AGCUGAUCAUUGGGUGUAAAGAGUGCGCAGGCGGUUUUGUAAGACAGAGGUGAAAUCCCCGGGCUCAACCUGGGAACUGCCUUUGUGACUGCAAGGCUGGAGUGCGGCAGAGGGGGACGGAAUUCCGCGUGUAGCAGUGAAAUGCGUAGAUAUGCGGAGGAACACCGAUGGCGAAGGCAAUCUCCUGGGCCUGCACUGACGCUCAUGCACGAAAGCGUGGGGAGCAAACA
This 230-nucleotide ribosomal RNA is filed under the name uncultured Alicycliphilus sp. Its description in RNAcentral is "partial 16S ribosomal RNA". It matches the Rfam family "Bacterial small subunit ribosomal RNA", at positions 550 to 774 of the family's 1533-position model. Lineage: Bacteria; Pseudomonadati; Pseudomonadota; Betaproteobacteria; Burkholderiales; Comamonadaceae. The record is from RNAcentral.